This 632-nucleotide ribosomal RNA is filed under the name uncultured bacterium. Its description in RNAcentral is "bacterial SSU rRNA". The stretch from base 1 to 543 matches the Rfam family "Bacterial small subunit ribosomal RNA", at positions 338 to 873 of the family's 1533-position model. The record is from RNAcentral.
CCUACGGGAGGCAGCAGUGGGGAAUAUUGCACAAUGGGCGCAAGCCUGAUGCAGCCAUGCCGCGUGUAUGAAGAAGGCCUUCGGGUUGUAAAGUACUUUCAGCGGGGAGGAAGGGAGUAAAGUUAAUACCUUUGCUCAUUGACGUUACCCGCAGAAGAAGCACCGGCUAACUCCGUGCCAGCAGCCGCGGUAAUACGGAGGGUGCAAGCGUUAAUCGGAAUUACUGGGCGUAAAGCGCACGCAGGCGGUUUGUUAAGUCAGAUGUGAAAUCCCCGGGCUCAACCUGGGAACUGCAUCUGAUACUGGCAAGCUUGAGUCUCGUAGAGGGGGGUAGAAUUCCAGGUGUAGCGGUGAAAUGCGUAGAGAUCUGGAGGAAUACCGGUGGCGAAGGCGGCCCCCUGGACGAAGACUGACGCUCAGGUGCGAAAGACGUGGGGAGGCAAACAGGAUUAGAUACCCUGGUAGUCCACGCCGUAAACGAUGUCGACUUGAGGUUGUGCCCUUGAGGNGUGGCGUCGUCGCGUACGACGUAGUACGACCGCCGCGGAGGACGGCCGGCCGAGUAAACGUUAAACUUAAAUAAGAAGUUAGUAGGCGNGNGAGAGCGACGGACGACGACGAGGGAGGAGGNG